AUCUCUUGAGAGGCAUUCGAUAAAAUUGGAACGAUACAGAGAAGAUUAGUAUAGCCCCUAAACAAGAACGACACGCACAUAUCGAGAGAUAGUCUAAAAAAAAUCUUU
Molecule: small nuclear RNA, 108 nt
Filed under: Amborella trichopoda
Lineage: Eukaryota; Viridiplantae; Streptophyta; Magnoliopsida; Amborellales; Amborellaceae
Source: RNAcentral